GAGGGUGUGGCUCAGUGGCAAAGCACGUGCUUAGCAUGCACGAAGUCCUGGGUACAAUCCCCAGUCCCUCCA
Molecule: non-coding RNA, 72 nt
Organism: Camelus ferus (Wild Bactrian camel)
Lineage: Eukaryota; Metazoa; Chordata; Mammalia; Artiodactyla; Camelidae
Source: Rfam